UACGUAGGGGGCAAGCGUUGUCCGGAUUUAUUGGGCGUAAAGAGCGUGUAGGCGGCCUGACAAGUCUGCUGUGAAAACUCGAGGCUCAACCUCGAGAUGUCGGCGGAAACUGUCUGGCUAGAGUCCGGAAGAGGAGAGUGGAAUUCACAUGAGUAAGGGUGAAAUCUGUUGAUCCAUGGAGGACCACCAAAAAAGGCGAAGGCAGCUAACUAUUCUACUCCUGACACUGAGGCAUGAAAGCGUGGGUAGCAAACCGG
This 257-nucleotide ribosomal RNA is filed under the name uncultured bacterium. RNAcentral describes it as "partial 16S ribosomal RNA". It matches the Rfam family "Bacterial small subunit ribosomal RNA", at positions 524 to 776 of the family's 1533-position model. The record is from RNAcentral.